GUGCUCGCUUUGGCAGCAUAUAUACUAAAAUUAGAACGAUACAGACAAGAUUAGCAUGGCCCCUGCGCAAGGAUGAUACACAAAAUUUGUGAAGCGUUCCAUUAAAAA
Small nuclear RNA from Lemur catta (Ring-tailed lemur), 108 nucleotides. The record is from RefSeq and is a predicted model, not a curated record. Lineage: Eukaryota; Metazoa; Chordata; Mammalia; Primates; Lemuridae.